This 721-nucleotide ribosomal RNA is filed under the name uncultured bacterium. RNAcentral's name for it is "bacterial SSU rRNA". It matches the Rfam family "Bacterial small subunit ribosomal RNA", at positions 136 to 851 of the family's 1533-position model. The record is from RNAcentral.
CAGGGGGAUAAGCGGAAGAAAUUCCGUCUAAUACCGCGUAACAACCCAUGGAGGCAUCUCUGUGGGUUUAAAGGAAGCGAUUCCGGCUACGGAUGGUCAUGCGUCGCAUUAGCUUGUUGGCGGGGUAACGGCCCACCAAGGCGACGAUGCGUAGGGGUUCUGAGAGGAAGGUCCCCCACACUGGUACUGAGACACGGACCAGACUCCUACGGGAGGCAGCAGUGAGGAAUAUUGGUCAAUGGCCGCAGGGCUGAACCAGCCAAGUCGCGUGAGGGAUGACGGUCCUAUGGAUUGUAAACCUCUUUUGUCAGGGAGCAAAGGGCGCCACGUGUGGCGCUUUGCGAGUACCUGAAGAAAAAGCAUCGGCUAACUCCGUGCCAGCAGCCGCGGUAAUACGGAGGAUGCGAGCGUUAUCCGGAUUUAUUGGGUUUAAAGGGUGCGCAGGCGGAAUGUCAAGUCAGCGGUAAAAUUUCGGGGCUCAACCCCGUCGUGCCGUUGAAACUGGCGUUCUUGAGUGAGCGAGAAGUAUGCGGAAUGCGUGGUGUAGCGGUGAAAUGCAUAGAUAUCACGCAGAACUCCGAUUGCGAAGGCAGCAUACCGGCGCUCAACUGACGCUCAUGCACGAAAGCGUGGGUAUCGAACAGGAUUAGAUACCCUGGUAGUCCACGCAGUAAACGAUGAAUACUAACUGUCCGGGCAGAAUGAUGCCUGGGUGGUACAG